AGUGAACGCUGGCGGUAGGCCUAACACAUGCAAGUCGAACGGCAGCACAGUAAGAGCUUGCUCUUACGGGUGGCGAGUGGCGGACGGGUGAGGAAUACAUCGGAAUCUACUUUUUCGUGGGGGAUAACGUAGGGAAACUUACGCUAAUACCGCAUACGACCUACGGGUGAAAGCAGGGGAUCUUCGGACCUUGCGCGAUUGAAUGAGCCGCUGUCGGAUUAGCUAGUUGGCGGGGUAAAGGCCCACCAAGGCGACGAUCCGUAGCUGGUCUGAGAGGAUGAUCAGCCACACUGGAACUGAGACACGGUCCAGACUCCUACGGGAGGCAGCAGUGGGGAAUAUUGGACAAUGGGCGCAAGCCUGAUCCAGCCAUACCGCGUGGGUGAAGAAGGCCUUCGGGUUGUAAAGCCCUUUUGUUGGGAAAGAAAAGCAGCAGGUUAAUACCCCGCUGUCCUGACGGUACCCAAAGAAUAAGCACCGGCUAACUUCGUG
RNAcentral lists this ribosomal RNA (492 nucleotides) under uncultured bacterium. RNAcentral's name for it is "partial 16S ribosomal RNA". It matches the Rfam family "Bacterial small subunit ribosomal RNA", at positions 29 to 507 of the family's 1533-position model. The record is from RNAcentral.